UACUGGCUCUGGCUGCUACCUGGUCAGGU
RNAcentral lists this non-coding RNA (29 nucleotides) under Rattus norvegicus (Norway rat). The record is from RNAcentral. Lineage: Eukaryota; Metazoa; Chordata; Mammalia; Rodentia; Muridae.